GUAGCGAUAAGACGGGUGAAAAACCCGUUCGCCGAAAGCCCAAGGUUUCCUGUCCAAGGAUCAUCCGGGCAGGGUAAGUCGGUGCCUAAGGUGUAGCCGAAAGGCGAAGCCGAUGGGAAUCCGGUUAAUAUUCCGGAACCACGAACGAGGAGCAGUGCGGGGACGGAGAAGGGUAGGUCAGCCGGUCAUCGGAUUCCGGUUCAAACCCGUAGGCGGUUCGCGUAGGAAAAAAACGCGCGGGCAACGCCGAGAGGUGACGACGAAGGCCUUCGGGCCGAAGUGAUUGAUCCCACGCUUCCAAGAAAAUCCGCGGGCUGUGUUGAAUCGUUGGUGACCGUACCGCAAACCGACUCAGGUGGGCUGGUGGAGAACACCAAGGCGUUCGAGAGAACCCAGGUUAAGGAACUCGGCAAAUUGACACCGUAACUUCGGGAUAAGGUGUGCCAGAGGUAGGUGAAGGGCUUGCGCCUGGAGCCGAUUCUGGUUGCAACAAAGCGGCGGUAGCGACUGUUUACUAAAAACACAGGGCUCUGCGAAACCGUAAGGUGACGUAUAGGGCCUGACGCCUGCCCGGUGCCGGAAGGUUAAGGGGAGUUGUCAGCGCAAGCGAAGCGACGAACUGAAGCCCCGGUAAACGGCGGCCGUAACGAUAACGGUCCUAAGGUAGCGAAAUUCCUUGUCGGGUAAGUUCCGACCUGCACAAGGGCGUAACGACUUCCGCGCUGUCUCGACCUGGGACUCGGCGAAAUCGACAUGGGGGUGAAGACGCCCUCUACCCGCGGCAAGACGGAAAGACCCUGUGAACCUUUACUGUAGCUUGGCAGUGGUAUUCGGUUCAUUCUGUGUAGGAUAGGUGGGAGCCUAUGAGUCGGGCACGCUAGUGUCCGAGGAGGCACCGUUGAAAUACCACCCUGGAUGUGCUGGAUACCUAACCCCUUCGGGGGGACACUGCCUGGUAGGCAGUUUGACUGGGGCGGUCGCCUCCUAAAGAGUAACGGAGGCGCGCAAAGGUUCCCUCAGCCAGAUCGGAAACCUGGCGAAGAGUGUAAUCGUAUAAGGGAGCUUGACUGCAAGACCGACAGGUCAAGCAGGUGCGAAAGCAGGCGAUAGUGAUCCGUGGUUCCACGUGGACGGGCCAUCGCUCAUCGAAUAAAAGGUACUCCGGGGAUAACAGGCUUAUCGCGCCCAAGAGUUCAUAUCGACGGCGCGGUUUGGCACCUCGAUGUCGGCUCAUCGCAUCCUGGGGCUGGAGCAGGUCCCAAGGGUAUGGCUGUUCGCCAUUUAAAGCGGUACGCGAGCUGGGUUUAGAACGUCGUGAGACAGUUCGGUCCCUAUCUGCCGUGGGCGUAGGAAGGUUGAGAGGAGCUGUCCUUAGUACGAGAGGACCGGGAUGGACGUACCUCUGGUGUUCCAGUUGUCGUGCCAACGGCAUUGCUGGGUAGCCACGUACGGUCGGAAUAACCGCUGAAAGCAUCUAAGUGGGAAAUCCUCCUCGAGAUGAGCCUUCCCUGAAGGACCCAGAAAGACUAUCUGGUUGAUAGGCCGGAGGUGCAGGCCCAGCAAUGGGUACAGCUUACCGGUACUAAUCGUCCGAUCGGCUUG
Molecule: ribosomal RNA, 1602 nt
Filed under: metagenome
Description: bacterial LSU rRNA
Rfam family: Bacterial large subunit ribosomal RNA
Source: RNAcentral